RNAcentral lists this ribosomal RNA (968 nucleotides) under uncultured marine bacterium. RNAcentral's name for it is "bacterial SSU rRNA". It matches the Rfam family "Bacterial small subunit ribosomal RNA", at positions 48 to 1020 of the family's 1533-position model. The record is from RNAcentral.
CUUAUGCAUGCAAGUCGAGCGAAGCUUUUCAGUAGUUUACUACAGAAAAUGACUGAGCGGCGAACGGGUGAGUAACGCGUGAGCAAUCUACCUUAGUUACAGGGAUAGCCCGAGGAAACUCGGAUUAAUACCUGAUAUUCUUUAAAUUUCGCAUGAAAUUAAAAGGAAAGGUCAGCCGAACUAAGAUGAGCUCGCGUUCUAUCAGCUAGUUGGUGAGGUAAAAGCUCACCAAGGCAACGACGGAUAGCUGGUCUGAGAGGACGAUCAGCCACACUGGGACUGAGACACGGCCCAGACUCCUACGGGAGGCUGCAGCAGGGAAUAUUGCGCAAUGAGCGAAAGCUUGACGCAGCGACACCGCGUGUAGGAUGACGGAUCUAGGUUUGUAAACCACUUUCAGGAGGGAAGAAAAUGACGGUACCUCCACAAGAAGCCCCGGCCAACUACGUGCCAGCAGCCGCGGUAAUACGUAGGGGGCGAGCGUUGUCCGGAUUUAUUGGGCGUAAAGAGCUCGUAGGCGGUUCAACAAGUCGGUCGUAAAAGUUCAGGGCUCAACCCUGAAAUGUCGAUCGAUACUGUUGUGACUAGGAUACGGUAGAGGUGAGUGGAAUUCCGAGUGUAGCGGUGAAAUGCGUAGAUAUUCGGAGGAACACCAACUGCGAAGGCAGCUCACUGGGCCGCUAUCGACGCUGAGGAGCGAAAGCUAGGGGAGCAAACAGGAUUAGAUACCCUGGUAGUCCUAGCUGUAAACGAUGGAUACUAGACGUAGGAACUGGAUUGACGGUUUCUGUGUCGUAGCUAACGCGUUAAGUAUCCCGCCUGGGGAGUACGGUCGCAAGACUAAAACUCAAAGGAAUUGACGGGACCCCGCACAAGCGGCGGAGCAUGCGGCUUAAUUCGAUGAUACCCGUAGAACCUUAUCUGGACUUGACAUAUAGGGUCAAGCUAUAGAGAUAUAGUGUGCAUUA